GACGAACGCUGGCGGCGUGCUUAACACAUGCAAGUCGAACGGAAAGGCCCUGCUUUUGUGGGGUGCUCGAGUGGCGAACGGGUGAGUAACACGUGAGUAACCUGCCCUUGACUUUGGGAUAACUUCAGGAAACUGGGGCUAAUACCGGAUAGGAGCUCCUGCUGCAUGGUGGGGGUUGGAAAGUUUCGGCGGUUGGGGAUGGACUCGCGGCUUAUCAGCUUGUUGGUGGGGUAGUGGCUUACCAAGGCUUUGACGGGUAGCCGGCCUGAGAGGGUGACCGGCCACAUUGGGACUGAGAUACGGCCCAGACUCCUACGGGAGGCAGCAGUGGGGAAUAGUGCACAAUGGGCGGAAGCAUGAUGCAGCAACGCCGCGUGCGGGAUGACGGCCUUCGGGUUGUAAACCGCUUUCGCCUGUGACGAAGCGUGAGUGACGGUAAUGGGUAAGAAGCACCGGCUAACUACGUG
This 467-nucleotide ribosomal RNA is filed under the name uncultured bacterium. RNAcentral describes it as "partial 16S ribosomal RNA". It matches the Rfam family "Bacterial small subunit ribosomal RNA", at positions 28 to 507 of the family's 1533-position model. The record is from RNAcentral.